AACGAACGCUGGCGGCGUGGAUUAGGCAUGCAAGUCGAACGUUAGGGACCUUUCGGGGUCCCGAAAGUGGCAAACGGGUGAGUAACGCGUGGGAAACCUGCCCUUGUGCUGGGGAUAACACUCCUAACGGAGUGCUAAUACCGAAUACGAUCACCGGGUCGCAUGGCUUGGUGAUGAAAGGCGGCCUCUGCUUGCAAGCUGUCGCACAAGGAUGGUCCCGCGUCCCAUUAGCUAGUUGGUAGGGUAACGGCCUACCAAGGCUGUGAUGGGUAGCCGGCCUUAGCGGGUGUCCGGCCACACUGGGACUGAGAUACGGCCCAGACUCCUACGGGAGGCAGCAGUCGAGAGGCUUCUACAAUGGGGGAAACCCUGAUAGAGCGACGCCGCGUGGGUGAUGAAGGUCUUCGGAUCGUAAAGCCCUUUCAGCAGGGAAGAAGGGAGUGGAUGCUAAUACCAUCGAGUCCCGGACGGUACCUGCAGAAGAAGCUCCGGCUAACUCCGUGCCAGCAGCCGCGGUAAGACGGAGGGAGCAAGCGUUGUUCGGAUUUACUGGGCGUAAAGGGCGUCUAGGCGGGCCAGCCAGUCAGGUGUGAAACCCCCCGGCUCAACCGGGGAUCUGCACUUGAUACUGCUGGUCUUGAGUACGGAAGAGGAAGGCGGAAUUCCUGGUGUAGCGGUGAAAUGCGUAGAUAUCAGGAAGAACACCGGUGGCGAAGGCGGCCUUCUGGUCCGAUACUGACGCUAAAGCGCGAAAGUGUGGGGAGCAAACAGGAUUAGAUACCCUGGUAGUCCACACUGUAAACGAUGGAUACUAGGUGUCGGGGGUAUCGACCCCCCCGGUGCCGCAGCUAACGCAUUAAGUAUCCCGCCUGGGGAGUACGGUCGCAAGGCUG
This 893-nucleotide ribosomal RNA is filed under the name uncultured bacterium. RNAcentral describes it as "bacterial SSU rRNA". It matches the Rfam family "Bacterial small subunit ribosomal RNA", at positions 28 to 896 of the family's 1533-position model. The record is from RNAcentral.